This is a long non-coding RNA of Pygocentrus nattereri (red-bellied piranha), 739 nucleotides long. RefSeq lists it as uncharacterized. The transcript has 2 exons. The record is from RefSeq and is a predicted model, not a curated record. NCBI's taxonomy places the organism in Eukaryota, Metazoa, Chordata, Actinopteri, Characiformes, Serrasalmidae.
CUCUCUUUUUCAGCCCUAUAUAAACACUCUGUGUGAGCCUUUGUUAAGCUUCUCUUGUUUUUGAUUCAACCUGUUCUGCCUCUUUAACACCUUCACUUCAACUGAAAACUCUUACAGACACGAAGGUCCUUGUUGGAUACAACGGGAAAUGGGGAGUGCAGAAUCAAGAUCAAACACACAUGUGGCCAAUGCAACAGAUAAGCCCUUGAGAAUUUACUAUCAGACAUCAAAGAUGACGCUUGAAGAGCUUGUGAUCAAAGCAGAUGCAGGGCUUGGUUUUUCCAACUCGAGUGUCUCAGGAAAUGUGAACACCAGCACCUCAAUGGUUUUUAAACCUGACUCGCGAGUGCGCUACCUCCGCCUUCCUCCUAGAGAAUUCACUAACUUCGCAGGGGAAGGGGAGCUGUUUGCCAGCGUCCUUGUGGAAGAUAAAAGCAACCCAGAGGUCUACCUCAAGUGCAUCUGCAUGAACUUCCAUGUUCCCAGUGACCGAUCCUUCAUUGUGACAGCCAGUGAAAACAUCAAGCUCCAGAAGUACGGUGCAUCAGUCUGGGUUGAUGAGAAUGGAGUGAGACAUUAAAGAUAUUAAUAAUCCUUUUUGAUAAGUGUACAUCUUUCAUGUGAUUUCCAUUCCAAUUCAUGAAUAAGUUCUUCUAAAACUGAGAUUGUGUGCUGUGGGAUUGGACAACAGCCACUGUUUAAAAUGUGCUUCAUGAAUAAAAAAUUGAUUUGAUGACAA